This 248-nucleotide unclassified non-coding RNA is filed under the name Glomeraceae sp. RNAcentral describes it as "partial contains 5.8S ribosomal RNA and internal transcribed spacer 2". The stretch from base 1 to 71 matches the Rfam family "5.8S ribosomal RNA", at positions 84 to 154 of the family's 154-position model. The record is from RNAcentral. Lineage: Eukaryota; Fungi; Glomeromycota; Glomeromycetes; Glomerales; Glomeraceae.
GUGAAUCAUCGAAUUUUUGAACGCAAAUUGCACUCUCUGGUAUUCCGUAGAGUAUGCUUGUUUUAGGGUCAGGUUAAAUAAAAAUCGGUGUGGUUUCUUCCUUUCGUGGUGACGCACCGGAUUUUGGUCGUCUUUCCUUCGUUUAAGUUACCUAAAAUUGUGCAUGAUUUUUUUCGAACUGUUUUAAAUGAUUUUACGUACGUUGGCGAGAUCUAAUACGAUGUGGGUUCAUCCUCAUGAUUCGCGCC